GCGGGCAGAAACGGUGGGUGGCCUUUCCCGAGACCACGGACGCGAAGGAGCUAACAAAGGCGGCGUUCGCUCGGCUCGGGCGGAUUCCCGUUGUGGUCGGGUGCGUGGAUGGUACGCUCAUCGCAAUCCCGAAGCCCCAUGGCCUGAGCUCCGCGGACACGACGCAUUACAUGUCGGGGAAGGGACUACGCAUUCAACACCAUGAUCACAUGUGAUGCCGACCUCUGGAUGUCAGUCCAUGUUUCCUGGGGUCAUGUCAUGACUCGUGGGUAUGGCGGGGGAGCCCUCUCCGUCAGCACCUGGAAGCAAAACUUCGGCUUGCUUGGAGACUCCAGCUAUACAUUAGAACCGUGACUCCUGACACCAGUGCCCGGACGCCCAGCUCGUGGCAC
Long non-coding RNA from Rhipicephalus sanguineus (brown dog tick), 392 nucleotides. RefSeq lists it as uncharacterized. Lineage: Eukaryota; Metazoa; Arthropoda; Arachnida; Ixodida; Ixodidae. The record is from RefSeq and is a predicted model, not a curated record. The transcript has 3 exons.